AUAUCAAUAAGCGGAGGAAAAGAAACCAACAGGGAUUGCCCCAGUAACGGCGAGUGAAGCGGCAAGAGCUCAAAUUUGAAAUCYGGCCUCCCCCGGGGGCCCGAGUUGUAAUUUGCAGAGGAUGCUUCGGGUGCGGCCGCCGUCUAAGUUCCUUGGAACAGGACGUCAGAGAGGGUGAGAAUCCCGUCUUGGGCGGGCGGUCCGCGCCCGUGUGAAGCUCCUUCGACGAGUCGAGUUGUUUGGGAAUGCAGCUCUAAGCGGGUGGUAAAUUUCAUCUAAAGCUAAAUAUUGGCCGGAGACCGAUAGCGCACAAGUAGAGUGAUCGAAAGGUUAAAAGCACCUUGAAAAGGGAGUUAAACAGCACGUGAAAUUGUUGAAAGGGAAGCGCUUGCGGCCAGACUCGGGGGCGGGGUUCAGCGGGUGCUCGUCGCCCGUGUAUUCCUCGUCUCCCGGGCCAGCAUCAGUUUCGACGGCCGGUCAAAGGCCCCCGGAAUGUGUCGUCUCUCGGGACGUCUUAUAGCCGGGGGUGCAAUGCGGCCCGUCGGGACUGAGGAACGCGCUCCGGCUCGGAUGCUGGCGUAAUGGCCGUAAGCGGC
RNAcentral lists this ribosomal RNA (596 nucleotides) under Trichophyton interdigitale. RNAcentral describes it as "eukaryotic LSU rRNA". It matches the Rfam family "Eukaryotic large subunit ribosomal RNA", at positions 40 to 648 of the family's 3401-position model. Lineage: Eukaryota; Fungi; Ascomycota; Eurotiomycetes; Onygenales; Arthrodermataceae. The record is from RNAcentral.